AUGUCUUUGUCUUUUCUUAUUAGAGACAAACGCGCCCCCGCCCCCGCCCGCCCCCCUCCCUCCCCUCCGGCGGCCCCACCCCACCCCGAGGGGCUCCUGGCCGGCUCCGCGCAAGUUGACGAGGGUCCCAGGCGCACGUCCUCGCCGCGUCUCACCUCGCUCCGCUGGCCGGCGGCGUCCCCGCGGGCAUCGCCCGGGCGGCGCAGUCACCGCGGACCCCGCUCGGCGCCCGGCCCCGGCCCCGAGCGCCUCCGCCCGGCCCGCGCCCCAGCCCGCCCGGCUCCCGGCUCCCGGCUGCGGCUUGACUCCGGCUCCGGCUUGCCCGGCGGAGGCGACGGCGGCGGCCCUGGCGCGGCGUGGAGGCCGCUGAGCGGACGGGUGAGGCCGGGGCUGGGGGCGCGGGGCGCGGGGCGCGGGCCGGGGCCGGUGAGGCAGCGAGCGAGCCUCGAGCCCGUCCGCGCGCGGCGCAGGAAACUUCGGGCUGAGCGGCGGGGGCGGGGCGGGCGGGGAAGGGGCGGGCAGGCGCGGAGGGGCGGGGAAGGGCGGGCCGGGCCGGGGCGGGGCGGGUGGGGGUGCCGAGGAGGAUCCGCCCCGGCCCGAGAUGCGCGCGCCCGAGCGACCCCUCCCCGUCGCCGCGCGGCGCCCACCCCGCCCCUGGGUCGGGGAAGUUGGACCCGCCCGAGCCCCUCCACGCCCCCGCACUGGGCUCCGCGUUCCUCGUGCUCCCCGCCAACGCCGGGCGUGGGGUGCACCAGGGGCGCUCGCGGGAGGAUCCAGCAGGGUGGGAGGGGAGCACCUAAGUCCUUCCCCGCCCCCAACUGCGGGGGCGGCUGCUGCGGAUGCCGCGCCCCUCCCCCCGCUGCCGCUCCUCCCCCCUCCGCGCCGUCGCGCUGCCGCCGCCCCCACCCCCACUGCGACGCGGGCCCGGGUCGGCGGAGGGGCGGGGACCGGGCGGGCGUGGAAGGGAGAGGCUGCGUGCCUCUCCCCGCCGCGUGUGUGUCCCGGUGUGCCCGCACGCGCGCGUGUUUGAUGGGGCGCGGGGGCGGGCGGGGGUGUGCUUUGCGGCUUGGAGUCCGUGGGUGGGAUUCUGGGUGCUCCUGCAUGCGCAUCUCUUACCGACACGCACGGGCAGUUUCCGCGAACUUGUCCCCGUCUCCAGCCCCCUCCCGUGUGGGAAUCUGGGGGACCCUGGGGACGGCGGCCUGGUGCUCCUGCACCCCUCAACCCCGCUGCCUCACCGAGACUCACCGAGGGACCCCCGAGGAGAAGUGCAGGCCCCCUCUCCCUGCCAGCACCUGCUCCCUCAGCCAGGCCAGCGGAGGGGCCUUCCCCUGGACCCUCAGAGCAAGUGAUUUGGUCGUGAAGGGGUGGCCCUUUCAGACAUUGGGGAUGGCCAGGGCCAUGUCCCAGCGAGGGCUCACCACACCUCGAGGUGCCAGCAGGUGGGGACAGGUGCCCAGGCUCCCGACUCCUCCCAGGGCACCCUCCAGGCUGGAAGGGGGGGUCUUGCUUCUGGGACCGCUGCUUUGUGCACCAGAGGGUUUGAGCUCCCAGGUCUGCACCUCAGCACGCCCACCAAUAAGGGGCUUCUGGUAG
This 1596-nucleotide long non-coding RNA is filed under the name Macaca fascicularis (crab-eating macaque). Its description in RNAcentral is "lncRNA (ENSMFAG00000057228.1)". The record is from RNAcentral. Lineage: Eukaryota; Metazoa; Chordata; Mammalia; Primates; Cercopithecidae.